ACAAAAGACAAACCACAAAUAUGUGUUACAAAUACGAGUCUUUCUCUCUGUCAUCCACCCAGGUUAUUAUCUAAUCUCCAUGUAGUCUUGUUUGUUUAAUUUCUUCUUCUUUUUUUGUAAUCUAUCGAUCGUAAAAACACAAAAACAUGAA
Molecule: non-coding RNA, 151 nt
Filed under: uncultured eukaryote
Lineage: Eukaryota
Source: RNAcentral